AUAGAUAACUUGUACUGCCAUCUAGCUGUCAAAAACAUCACUGGAAGGAGGGAUUUCAAUAGACGACGCCUUCAAGGGAGGAGGAGUCUACAACAUAUUGAAUUUAUCGAUCGAUUGUUAGGUCUAUUUUCGAUCGCCAUUGCGGCCAUUGUAUACCAUGGCCAUAGAAUCGCGACGUAGAAGAAGGGAAUCAAUUAGAUUGUUUAAUGGCGUAGGUUUUCGUAGUUUUCGACGCGAUGUGUGUUAAUUGGUGGAGAAACAUUGUCGUAAUCGGAUAUCGGAACGGAUUUCCAUAAUGUAAACGUGUUGUAACCGACCAGCACAAAAUUGAUAAAUUUUUUUUCAUUUAUCACAAAUUGGUUAUCAACAGCAUUUCCACUCUAUAGCAGCAGAAGCCAAGCUGUUCAGUCAACGGAAGACCAUUGUAAUUGCAGUUAAAGAGAUACAACAACUUUGUUGCCAAUAACAACAUGCUGCAUUUAUUUUGUCCACAGCCAAAAUAAAAUGCAACUUCUUCCUCAGGAGUAACACAUUGUGUGUUGCAGAUAUGUUAGCUUGUUGUGAUUUUAGACCACGGUAUAGACUGAGCCUUUGUAUCUGUGUCAAACCAGUUACAUCAACUCACUUGUUGUUGACACCCCUGGAGAUAUUACCAAACUUUCGAAAUGGUUGAAGCAGGCGCCCAUAAUAUGUCGAUUCAAUUUCAGUGCUAUCACUGUAAGGAUGGUAACCUGUUAUUAAGUUACACCACCUGUUUCAUUUGGUCAUAGGAUAGAUAGACCAAAAGAGUGAUACUCUUUAAUGUUUGCAGUGUGUUUGUCACAUUCAAUGAAUCCAUAUCUUCUCGUGAAUUGAUGGACUGAAUAAUGUCAGAUUGCCAAAAAAAAACAAACACUGGAACCCUUCUGCAUGACUUUGAACCACAAGAUAUUGAUCUUUUUUACAUUCGCCUUUUGGGUUGAACGGUAAAGAGUUUCACGGUUCACUGUUUUAUCCGAAAAUCGUAUAUCCACGAAAUGUUGGCAUCAUUGGUCUAUGAACAGAUAUGCUGAUGACUGAAAUCAAUUGGAUCAGCUGAAAACAUAUGUUGAGACAUCUAUGCAACUUUGUACUUGGAUAUGUGUCAUUCCACUGGUAGUAGAAACUUGGAAUCGCGUGUCUUCAACCAACUCACCUCAUCUAGGCCUGACCAGUAUCGGCCCGGAGAAAGUAGUCAACUAGUCACACGUCAGAUAAAAAAUCCUGCUAAGUAAACCAUAUGAUAAGGAAGUGAACAUCAAUCAUUCGAACGUGAGUCUAACUGGUCUAAUGAAAAAUAAGGAUUCAUUCGGUUACCGACUUGACCUGCACGAGGAUUUUAGCCAUAUCGGAUAUCGGAAAGGAACACCUUUACCGAACAUAAUGUUCUUCUAACGUAAAUUAUUGGAUGUUCAUUCUAUUUCGGAUUUAGAUUUCAUUUAGAAAUCCUGGCAGAAGCUUUUCAUUUAUAAGACCAUAGAAGUAUUGCACACACUAAUGUUUUAAAGUUAAUAAACAUAAUAAAUGGAAAAAGGGGUUUCAGAAUGAGGCGGGAGUUUUUUCAAUGCUGAAGUUUGAAAAAACGAUAGGAAAUACCCAUGAAAUGAAAAACAUUCUCUCACGUUAUGGUAUUUGUCGUACAUAAAUUGAAGUGCAUAUCUGGGCUCCCUUCUUUUCUGUGGCCCCGUUUCCCCUUGACUCGUAAUAAGCCCGUAGGGGGUCACGCCCCUACUGUACGGUAUAUAUAAAAACAACAUAUAUCGAGGUUUG
Molecule: long non-coding RNA, 1788 nt
Organism: Daphnia magna
Lineage: Eukaryota; Metazoa; Arthropoda; Branchiopoda; Diplostraca; Daphniidae
Exons: 7
Source: RefSeq, a predicted model, not a curated record